CAGCCGCCGCGGGAAUACAGAGGGUGCAAGCGUUAAUCGGAAUUACUGGGCGUAAAGUGCGCGUAGGUGGUUUGUUAAGUUGGAUGUGAAAUCCCCGGGCUCAACCUGGGAACUGCAUCCAAAACUGGCAAGCUAGAGUAUGGUAGAGGGUGGUGGAAUUUCCUGUGUAGCGGUGAAAUGCGUAGAUAUAGGAAGGAACACCAGUGGCGAAGGCGACCACCUGGACUGAUACUGACACUGAGGUGCGAAAGCGUGGGGAGCAAACAGGAUUAGAUACCCCCGUAGUCCCUGUCUCUUAUAA
This 301-nucleotide ribosomal RNA is filed under the name uncultured bacterium. RNAcentral describes it as "partial 16S ribosomal RNA". It matches the Rfam family "Bacterial small subunit ribosomal RNA", at positions 509 to 809 of the family's 1533-position model. The record is from RNAcentral.